This is a long non-coding RNA of Orcinus orca (killer whale), 2328 nucleotides long. RefSeq lists it as uncharacterized. The transcript has 2 exons. The record is from RefSeq and is a predicted model, not a curated record. Lineage: Eukaryota; Metazoa; Chordata; Mammalia; Artiodactyla; Delphinidae.
ACCAACAAACCUAAACUCUUUAUUAAAAACAAAACAAAACAAAACAAAAACACCUUUUAUCGGGAUGAAAAAGACAGUGGCUUCAUUUUCCAUUCCUCCAUCAUCUAACUAGGAAUUUUUCCCUCUUCAUAGCUCCUCUAGUGCCUCGUGACUCUGUGCUUAUCACAUUCCACCCUGUGUUCCAAUUAUCUAUAUAAAUGUCAUGUUGCGCUGCCUGUCAAGAAUGACCAAGGAAGCAGCCAGGUUCAGGCAGGGCAUGGGGUCAAGAAGAGGGGUAGGGGGGGCAGGACUUGCUCUGCGUGAUCAGACCACUGACAGCAGGAAGACAGGCAGGGCAAUUUCAUAAGGACAGGAAGGACGGCAAAGGGCCGGAGUCAGGGUGGCGGGUGGGUUAGCCAGGGAUGACCCUGAGCCUACAUCGUGUGCUGAAGAAGCAAAGCGUUGGAAGAGACAGCAGCUGGGCCUGGAUUCGGGGCAACCAUCGGGACAGUAGUCAGAAUCCCUGACUGUGCAAAAAGGCCUGGCUGCCACAUGCUGCCUCUCUUAACAGCAGACUCCUUUACUUAAUUCAGUAAAUAUUUAGCGAACGCAAACAUGUGUGAGACACUGUGCGGCUACCUGGGGCUUCUGGCGGUGGCCAUGAGGAAAUAAAAUAAUUAGGAUUCACUUCCUAUUCUCAGGGAACUCAUGAUAUAAUGAAGAGAUAAAUAUGUAAAGAGUUAUUUCCACUACUUCAAGAUAACUGCUCCAUUUGCUGAAGACCUACUGUAGCCAACUGUAGAGUUUUGUGAAAAACACCACUGCAAAGCUCAAGACAGUAGAGAGAGGUUAUUUAGGGCUUGGACAAAUCAGGGUUCAAAUCCUAGCUUUACCAUGUAUCAACUGUGUGACCUUGGGCACGUUACUUAAUCUCAUUAAGCUUCAGUUUCUUCCUAUGCAAAACUGGGAUCAAAACAGUUCCUUCCUCAUAGGGCUGUGGUGGGGACUGAAUGAGAUUCUGCCUGGAAGCUCCUGGCAUAAUAAGUGCUCAAUAAAUGUUAACCAUUCAUUCACUUAACAAGUAUUUAACAAGAGUGCGUGCUAUGUGCUAGGCACAGUUCUGAGAGCUUGGGCUGCUGUAUCAGUGAACAAAGCAAAGAUCCUGCCUGCCUCGAGGAGUUUAUGUUCUAGGGGGGUAAGCCAAGCAUAUUAUAAUAAUGAUAUUUAUUAGUAAUAAUAGUAGAAAACAGGAUCAGAAAAGGAGCUGUUAAUGGUUUUGUAGAGGAGGUGGCAUUACACAUAUGAUGUGAAGGAUAGAUAGAAGAUUUGAAGGGGAGAAUGGGGUGACAGGCAUUUCUGGCGAGAGAGAACCUCCCAGCAGAAAUUCAGAGGUCAAAUACACAAGAGACUGCAGAUUCAACGUGGCCGAGGCAGAGGGUGUGUGUUAGGCAAAAAGCACGGAAAGAGAGGUUGGAGCAACAGGUCAAAGAGUCUUCCUGCCUUGCUGCAAUUUGGAUUUUAUUCCAUGGUGGGUGGUGAGCCAGUCCAGAUUUCUAUUCAGGGAAAAAUAUGUUGCAAUGAUAAAUCUGGAAGAGUGGCUUGGGGCAGGGAGGUAUCUUGAGGCUGUUGGAUUAGUCCAGGCAAGAGAUAAUGAGUGGAGACAGAAGUAGGACAAAUACAGGAUGGGUUGAAGAGGAAGAAUCCCUAGGACUUGGUGACCCACUGAAUUAAAGGGUGAGUUGGAUGGUGGGGCGUGUCAAGUAGGAAAAGACUGAAAACUGUUCGUCUGGUUCAACAAUAAGGAGGUAACUCGUGCCUUUUGAUGACAGCAGCUUCAGUGGAACAAUACGGAUGGGUGCAGUGGAUUGAAGAGUGAACAGGAGGAGAGGCCAGGUGAUGACAGAGUGUGGGCAGUUUGCAAGAAGCUUGGUGAUGAAGUGGACAAAAGAGCAGAGCUGCAAGGACUGAUGAAGCUGAAGGUGGAACUUUAAGGUGAUUUCAGGCCAUUCCGUUGAUUGGUGGUUUGCUAUGCAGCAGGAGUUACCUGAUAACGUUGUGUCACAAGCACAGCAUUCAGAGGUUCUGCAAACCAGACCGCACCACAGGGCAGGUCUAGAACACCAAACUCUGUAAGCCGUGGUUGGAGUUGUGUGUUCCUUUGGUACUGAGCUGUUUGCUAAAGACGAUUAAUGUGGAAAAAACCGUGAUACCCGAGGGAGGUCUUACAUCGUUCACAGCCUGCAGCUCUCAGCCAGGUACAGGUAACCCCCGAUGGUGAGAAAGUUCACUUUGAGCAUUUCACUUUUACGAAAGACCUACAUUGGUACCUGUUUUUUUUUUUUUUUUUUU